GACGAACGCUGGCGGCGUGCUUAACACAUGCAAGUCGAACGGACAGGCCCUGCUUUUGUGGGGUGCUCGAGUGGCGAACGGGUGAGUAACACGUGAGUAACCUGCCCUUGACUUUGGGAUAACUUCAGGAAACUGGGGCUAAUACCGGAUAGGAGCUCCUGCUGCAUGGUGGGGGUUGGAAAGUUUCGGCGGUUGGGGAUGGACUCGCGGCUUAUCAGCUUGUUGGUGGGGUAGUGGCUUACCAAGGCUUUGACGGGUAGCCGGCCUGAGAGGGUGAACGGCGACAUGGGGACUGAGAGACGGACCAGAAGCCUACGGGAGGCAGUAGGGGGGAAUAUUGCACAAUGGGCGGAAGCCUGAUGAAGCAACGCCGCGUGCGGGAUGACGGGCUUCGGGGUGUAAACAGCUUUCGCCGGUGACGAAGAGGGAGUGACGGUAAUGGGUAAAGAAGCAACGGCUAACUACGUG
Molecule: ribosomal RNA, 468 nt
Filed under: uncultured bacterium
Lineage: Bacteria
Description: partial 16S ribosomal RNA
Rfam family: Bacterial small subunit ribosomal RNA
Source: RNAcentral